GUUAGGGAUCAUUAUAACGAACUCCAUGUGUUUUCUUCAUGAAGUAUUUAACUUCAUAGACAAACAUAUGCUUACUCUAAUAUGUAUUUAUUACCUACCCAUUGAUCGAGGAAAAGUUACCAAACUUAUACAACGACGUUUUCUGUGGUACGAUACGCACAUCCCUACAAAACAAAGAAUUUGCGAAAUUGGAUAUUUCUCAUUCAUUUGUUUUUUUUCAGUGACUGGUUUACUCUGGAUCGAAAGUGAUUGUGCGUAGUAAAAACUCAAAAAAGUAAGUUAUACGGAGGUGUAAUUAAAAAUAAAAUCCCGAGAAUCAUCUAACAGCGCCUAAUUUUACAUUAACAAUGAGUAAUGACAUUACCAUACGUUGUCUUAUGUUUAUUAUGGUUUAUGGCUGAACAGCUAUAAUAUUUUACGGCGAAAUAGACUACCGACUGCCACAGACUCCAUUUUAAAAGCGUUUCGCGACCUGACAGAAACCGCGAAUUUUCCACACAUGGGCCAGGCACACUUUUACUCGUAUAGUACUUACUGCGCCGUAAGUUAUUCUACUUAAGAGGAAAUACCAGCUGAGACCCAUAUGAGUUUCGAGAAUGUUAGGUAAAUAUCUACGUCGCACUGACGAGGACGGCUCCUAAAAUUAGUGCGAUAAGAACAACUACAGCUUAGGCGAAACAUCCUGCAUAAAAAGGAUAAUGACCUACAAAUUAAACACACAACUUAGACCAUGGUAGACAACGGGCUACUAUAAUAUUAUAAAUAUGAAUGUAACGAUAUCUGUCUCUCUGUACUUCUUCGCGCUUAAAUCGCUAAACGGAUUUAGGUAAAAUUUGGUAUGGAGAUAGUUUGAGGCCCAAGGAGGGACAUAAUAGUUUUUAUCAAUCAGAAACUAAUCAAUCAGUAGCUGCAAUAGGUAUGGAAAUGCCAAAGUGUCGUGAGAGUCGUGACCGCGAUUUUUCCUUCCUGUCCCAUCCAGCAGUUAAGUGAUCUGUAAUUUUUUGUCCCCAAUAAAUCGAUAUUUUUUCCCCGUCCUUUGUUUCUAUCAAUUCACGCGUCACCAUCACGCCACACGCAUCGCACGAUACGUUUCGCGCUCCGCCGGGCCCGAUAUACGUCUAAAAGGUAUUCCAUUAGCUUACCUAGACAAGUUGAAUUCUUCCAAAAAAUGAGAUUUUGUUAUUUUGUAUUCCAUUGUUACGUUGUUACUCUGCCAGAUGCGAACGGCUAAGGAGUGGAACUGACUUCAUACAAAUCUAUUCCCAGCCUACUAUAACUUGGAUCUUUUUAAAGCAAGAGUACAUAUUUGAGACAUAAUUUAGGUAAUCAUGCUCCAUCUUAGACUGCAUCUGCAUUUACCAUCAGUGAGAUAUCUUGGUCAAAUGCUUACCUUUUUCCAAUUACAAGAAAAUCGCUUUUGUGUAUCAUCAUCAUCAUCGUCUCCUAGCCGUUUUCGGCCACAGCAACUGUUUUCUACCGCUGAAAAGGUCGCUGGUGCGCUCUCAGGUGACUGACGUAGCCAAUCUUAGCAGCGAAUAUGCGGCCACACUCGCUGCAGGUCGGCACCCCUCCGAAGUAAUUAUAUGUCAUGGCCAUAGGUGGUCUGGCCUUUAGCUCGUCACGCUUAUCGUCAAGUUCUCUCUAUACAGAGGCAGAUAUCGUGUCAUCAUCACACGCAUCGCGCUGCGCUGGGCCCAAUAUGUCUGAGAGGAGAUGUCUGUCUAUUACAUUAGGUUACCUAGGCAAGUUGAGGGCUUAGAGGACCUAGCGAAUUACGAUUUUUUGUUAUCUGCCUAUAUCGCUUUUGCAUAUUCGAGCAAUAGUGAGGCAGAUCGCAUGACACCGUAAUGCUCCAUGCAUCGCGCGAUACGUUUUGCGCUUCACCGGACCCGAUAUACGUCCGAGAGUUUUUUCAUUACUUUACUGGGCACUGAUGAAGAAGCAUUGUUGUCCCCGCUAUCCGCGUCUGUAUGUAUGUCCGGCUUACUCACAGCAGACAGUAAAGUAGAUACAGAGUGUAUUACAAAUAGUGGGGAUCCGUUUAAGAUGGAAGAAUUGCUUUUUGAAUCUAACGAAGUUAACGAAAAAAGUACACGAAUAUUGAAAUAUUUUCAUACAAUAAUACAUUGUUUCACCAACUGAACGAAACGAGGAAGUAAGUAAAUUGAAUAAUGUACAAUGGGAUUGUCUUCAACAACAAUGUAUUAUUUAUCACGCGACGAUGUGGCUUAAUGCGGGCUGACACUUCGAAAUAAGGACACCUCUUAUAAUGUUCACUUACUAUUGAAGCCGAAUGCUAACUUUAACAACUUGGUCUAUAUUCGAUAGCACGGUUAGAGGCGCGGGUGCCGCGGCCGCUGCUGGACCCCAUCGCGAGCGCGGACUUCUGGCCGAAGAGUGUGGUACAUAUUUCGGCGGUUCCGUGGGAAUCUGCCGAAUGCUACACCGGAACAUGCGACGCAACGGAAAACAGUGUCGACGAAAAGACGAAAAACUUUCAAGAAUUUGAUUUUUGAAUUUUGAUUUGAUUAUUACACAAAAGAAAAACGUAAUGUACAAAAAGCGAACUUAAUGCCAUGACGCAUUCUCUAUACCUUAUACUCGUAUCUUAUUUUUUUAUGUUACUAUGUGCCUCUAUGGGUCUUUGUGUAUCUACGAGUAUGGGCCUUAGUUGCCUGAUAAUAAAUGAUAUUCAAUUUUUAACCUGAAUCAUUUUUUGCUAACUAGUUACAUAUUUCGUUUAUAUAACUAGAUUACUUUAGCCCUUCAAAGGUAAAAGAUAAUCAUAAAGUUGUUGUAUAUCUAGGCAUUUUAGCCCUUUUUAUCUUCCUGCAACUCAAUUUCAGUUUAAUAGUACUUUUCUUUUAUAUUCAUGGCAGCUUUUCCUUAUUGCAAACCCAAAAGAGGAUAUUAGAAUGACGUCGUUGUGUUGAGAAUUACCUCCAGUGGCUUUAUAUUGUAUAUUUUGGUGGAGCGGUGACGCAGCUAAUGUGGAUCGACAGAUCGACACAUGUACGCUUCCUGACCCCGAAUGAAGACUUUUAGUAAUGGAAUAAUUCUUUCUACUUUUUACUGUUUAAGUCUACAAUUAUAAGGUUGGUCAAUUACUGUUUUGACGACCUGUCUGGCCUAGUGGGUAGUGUCCCGGCCUAUGAAGCCAAUGGUCCCGGGUUCAAAUCCUGGUUAGGCCAUUUAUUUCUGUGAUAAGCACGAAUAUUUGGUCCUGAGUCGUGGGUGUUUUCUAUGUAUGUAAGUAUUCAUACAUAUUUAUAUACUAUGUACAUCGUUGUCUUUUUUAAUAUCUAGAAGCUUUUAGCGAUGACUGUACACAGGCAACUAAUUAAUACUCAUCUAGACAAUUCUAAUAAACCCUAAAAUAAUUAGGUUCCUAUGGCCACCUCCUGUGUCCAUCAUCAGACCACCUCAAUAGUCUGGCAAAAUUUAAGCUCAAUCGAAUAAUGGGAAGUGGAUCUAAUUUAGCUUGCUUUUAAAAUUCAUACCUUGUCUUAAUAACAAUAAAACACAUAAUAUAUUUUCCAAUAUUUUUAAUUCUCGUCGCCCAAGUGCAAAAACUUUUGAAUAAAAAGUGUGCACGGCUGAAUAAGUUAUUCAAGUUGACUUUUUAAAUUUCAUUCAUUAAAAAAUCACAACGGAGUCGGGUCAGGAAGGUCAAAAUUACCAUAAAAUUGUGAAAUUAGGUUGUUUUAGCAAUUCACAGUGUUUGCACUGCUUGUGUUUAUGCGGGUGAAUAAUGUGUCCGGCAAGAAAAUAAAUAGCCAUGGACAAAAAGCGAAAUUAACUACUUUUUCACUUGACUGAAAUAUAACAGCGGUAUAACAUGCAUGUAUGUAUGUAGGUAUAUUUAUACUUAUAAUUAUACAGCACGCCCUGCACGCUGAAAUAAACACGGAAAUUAUAAAUCAUCAAUAUUCUAACCCUCCAAAAUCAUAUACUCAUCAUAUAUAAGAAAUAGGAAUAUCUCCUCUAAUUUUGAACACGUACACUUCUCCACACUGUCCUUGUUGAAACUGUAUAUUUUAAUCUUGUGUAUUUCUUUAGCACUUAACAGUUUGACUUAAUUCGCCAAUAGAUGGCAUAAGUAGUAGCGAUUUUGGAAAUUUAUUAUGGUUGUUUUUGUUGGCAAUUAACACAAUAAUAUUUGUAAAAUGAUUUCGAAUAACAUAUGUAAUAUUUUGGAUUUAAAGUCAUAACUUAGCGAUUUGAUGUUUAAGAAAAAUAAUUACUAAAUUAAUCAAAAGAUGGCACUUUGUUCCCAACGCGCGUUUUCUAGAACGCGAUGGUGAGAUUUUUUUCGGGUUUAUAUAUAAGGUCCAAGGAAAAAUAGGUCGUCUGUUUAAAAUUAAAUCAAGCAAUGAGUGUUAUAUAGUUUGUAGUAGAAGUGUAAUUAGUAAAUAAAGUGGUGGUUUUAAACAGUGUGUGUCAUAUUUGGAUCUCGUACAGUCCUCUUGAUGUUCUAUUUAAGGCGGACGGUUUGUAAUAAAUCUAUAUAGAUUAGUAUCUAAUAACCUUAACCCUCAAUUGGACACAAAACGCACAAGGUCGCGAGUUCAAUAGUCGGACGAUUCUGGUUAGGAAGGAAAAUGCAAAAGGAAGGUCAAAGGUUAAAAGCUAAAAAGUUUUUAUUAAGAACAAUCUUUUGUAAAUCACAGACUACUUCAACUACUUGAUGGAGUACAUAAACUUUGUGCAUUAUUAACACAUACUGUAAAAAAUAGAGUAACUUAUCGGGACGGGGUAAUGGACAUCCACCAACCCGCUGGGUGGACAUUGUAAAGAAGGCUUGGCAGGCUUGUGUAGAUAUACAGGCGCCUAUUAUUAGGUAGGCGGAAAAUCGUACAGAAUGCA
Long non-coding RNA from Cydia pomonella (codling moth), 4866 nucleotides. RefSeq lists it as uncharacterized. The transcript is spliced from 3 exons. NCBI's taxonomy places the organism in Eukaryota, Metazoa, Arthropoda, Insecta, Lepidoptera, Tortricidae. The record is from RefSeq and is a predicted model, not a curated record.